Molecule: long non-coding RNA, 357 nt
Filed under: Androctonus crassicauda
Lineage: Eukaryota; Metazoa; Arthropoda; Arachnida; Scorpiones; Buthidae
Source: RNAcentral
CGCCAAGAAAUUUGGCGGAACGGAUCUUCUCUAUGUUGAUGGAAUAGGCAAACCCCGAUAAGACGCCAUCCGCGAUCCGCCAAUAGAGACGUCUAAACAGAUGUUCCUUUCGGUAUUGUAUUUGUCCUCGUUAAUCCGCCAGGGACAUGUAAGAUGAUUUGCAUCACAAAGUUCAUCAGAACUUAUAUACAGUGUUAAAAGCUCUCUUGAUUCAAUUGUAAUCAGCGGGUGGGACAUAUGGAGUUAACUGCUAAUCAGGGCCGGCGCAAGGCAGGUUCAGCGCGUUCGCCGAACCCGGCCCCGCGUUUUGAGAGGCCCCGCGGUCUACGAAAAUUACCCAAUUAAAAAACACUGAUU